CCCGACUUUGCGUAUUAGCUCUAAGUUCUUUCGGUCCGUUUCUAUGAUCCCCGACUUUGCGUAUAAGCUCUAAGUUCUUUCGGUCUGUUUUUAUGAUCCCCGACUUUGCGUAUCAGCUCUAAGUUCUUCCGGUCCGUUUUUAUGAUCUCUGACUUUACGUAUCAGCUCUAAGUUCUUUCGGUCUGUUUUUAUGAUCCCCGACUUUGCGUCUUAGUUCUAAGUUCUUUCGGUCCGUUUUUAUGAUCCCCGACUUUCCGUAUUAGCUCUAAGUUCUUUCGGUCUCUUUUUAUGAUCCCCGACUUUGCGUAUUAGCUCUAAGUUCUUUCAGUCGGUUUUAUGAUCCCUGACAUUGCGUAUUAGCUCUAAGUUCUUUCGGUCCGUUUUGAUGGUCUUUGCGUAUUAGCUCUAAGUUCUUUCGGUCAUUUUUAUGACGUAUUAGCUCUAAGUUCUUUUGGUCGUUUUUAUGAUCCCCGACGUUGCGUAUUAGCUCUAACUUCUUUCGCUCGGUUUUAUGAUCCCCGACUUUGCGUAUUAGCUCUAAGUUCUUUCGGUCCGUUUUGAUGAUCCCCGACUUUGCGUAUUACCUCUAAGUUCUUUCGGUCGGUUUUAUGAUCCCUGACUUUGCGUAUUAGCUCUAAGUUCUUUCGCUCCGUUUUGAUGAUCCCCGACUUUGCCUAUUACCUCUAAGUUCUUUCGGUCGGUUUUAUGAUCCCUGACUUUGCGUAUUAGCUCUAAGUUCUUUCGUCCCUUUUUAAGAUCCCCGACUUUGCAUAUUAGCUCUAAGUUCUUUUGGUCGGUUUUUAUGAUCCCUGACUUUGCGUAUUAGCUCUAAGUUCUUUCGGUCCGUUUUUAUGAUCCCCGACUUUGCGUAUUAGCUCAAAGUUCUUUCGGUUGUUUUAAUGAUCCCCGACUUUACGUAUUAGCUCUAAGUUCUUUCGAUCCGUUUUUAUGAUCCCCGACUUUGCGUAUUAGCUCUAAGUUCUUUCGGUCGUUUUUUGAUACCCGAGUUUGCGUAUUAGCUCUAAGUUCUUUCGAUCGGUUUUUAUGAUCCUCGACUUUGCGUAUUAGCUCUAAGUUCUAUCGGUCCGUUUUUAUGAUCCCCGACUUUGCGUAUUAGCUCUAAGUUCUUUCGGUCGGUUUUUAUGAUCCCUGACUUUGCGUAUUAGCUCUAAGUUCUUUCGGUCCCUUUUUAUGAUCCCCGACUUUGCGUAUUAGCUCUAAGUUCUUUCGGUCCCUUUUUAUGAUCCCUGACUUUGCGUAUUAGCUCUAAGUUGUUUCGGUCCCUUUUUAUGAUCCCCGACUUUGCGUAUUAGCUCUAAAUUCUUUCGGUCCGUUUUUAUGAUCCCCGACUUUACGUAUUAGCUCUAAGUUGUUUCGGUCCGUUUUUAUGAUCCCGGACUUUGCGUAUUAGCUCUAAGUUCUUUCGGUCCGUUUUUAUGAUCCCUGACUUUGCGUAUUAGCUCUAAGUUGUUUCGGUCCCUUUUUAUGAUCCCCGACUUUGCGUAUUAGCUCUAAAUUCUUUCGGUCCGUUUUUAUGAUCCCCGACUUUACGUAUUAGCUCUAAGUUCUUUUGGUCCGUUUUUAUGAUCCCAGACUUUGCGUAUUAGCUCUAAGUUCUUUCGGUCCGUUUUUAUGAUCCCCGACUUUGCGUAUUAGCUCUAAGUUCUUUCGGUCCGUUUUUAUGAUCCCUGACUUUGCGUAUUAGCUCUAAGUUCUUUCGGUCCCUUUUUAUGAUCCCCAACUUUGCGUAUUAGCUCUAAAUUCUUUCGGUCCGUUUUUAUGAUCCCCAACUUUACGUAUUCGCUCUAAGUUGUUUCGGUCCGUUUUUAUGAUCCCGGACUUUGCGUAUUAGCUCUAAGUUCUUUCGGUCCAUUUUUAUGAUCCCUGACUUUGCGUAUUAGCUCUAAGUUCUUUCGGUCCGUUUUUAUGAUCCCCGACUUUCCGUAUUACCUCUAAGUUCUUUUAGUCGGUUUUUAUGAUCCCCGACUUUGCGUAUUAGCUCUAAGUUCUUUCGGUCGGUUUUUAUGAUCCCUGACUUUGCGUAUUAGCACUAAGUUCUUUC
RNAcentral lists this long non-coding RNA (2062 nucleotides) under Capsella rubella. RNAcentral's name for it is "long non-coding RNA (CRUB_LNC000580)". The record is from RNAcentral. Lineage: Eukaryota; Viridiplantae; Streptophyta; Magnoliopsida; Brassicales; Brassicaceae.